UGGUGAGCAGGCCCAGCAGGCCCAAGGGCCACCCAUUCCCCCCAGCAGAGCCCCACCUAGGAACCCGACAGAGCCCAACCACCCUAGACAAAACCACCGCCGGCCACACCAACCCAACA
This is a long non-coding RNA of Melanotaenia boesemani (Boeseman's rainbowfish), 119 nucleotides long. RefSeq lists it as uncharacterized. The transcript is spliced from 3 exons. Lineage: Eukaryota; Metazoa; Chordata; Actinopteri; Atheriniformes; Melanotaeniidae. The record is from RefSeq and is a predicted model, not a curated record.